Molecule: ribosomal RNA, 529 nt
Filed under: Starmerella orientalis
Lineage: Eukaryota; Fungi; Ascomycota; Dipodascomycetes; Dipodascales; Trichomonascaceae
Description: partial large subunit ribosomal RNA
Rfam family: Eukaryotic large subunit ribosomal RNA
Source: RNAcentral
AUAUUCCAAUAGCGGAGGAAAAGAAACCAACAGGGAUUGCCUUAGUAGCGGCGAGUGAACCGGCAAGAGCUCAGAUUUGAAAGCCCCUCGGGGCAUUGUAUUCUGAAGCCUUGAUCCUGGGAACCGGUGCUUAAGUCUUCUGGAAAGGAGCGCCAUGGAGGGUGAUAGCCCCGUGAAGCACUGACCCCAUUGUAGGAUCUUGGCGUGGAGUCGAGUUGUUUGGGAAUGCAGCUCAAAUGGGUGGUAUGCUCCAUCUAAAGCUAAAUAUCUGCGAGAGACCGAUAGCGAACAAGUACUGUGAAGGAAAGAUGAAAAGAACUUUGAAAAGAGAGUGAAAAAGUACGUGAAAUUGUUGAAAUGGAAGGGUAGGCCGCUAACCACGUAGAGCCGUGUCUAGGGGGAGGAUAAAAGCUGUAGAAUGUGGCUCUUCGGAGUGUUAUAGCUACAGUUCAUACUCCCACCCGGGCGCGAGGAUCUAAGGCUCUACUAAAUGGUGGUCUACCACCCGUCUUGAAACACGGACCAACAA